Molecule: long non-coding RNA, 960 nt
Organism: Cervus elaphus (red deer)
Lineage: Eukaryota; Metazoa; Chordata; Mammalia; Artiodactyla; Cervidae
Exons: 3
Source: RefSeq, a predicted model, not a curated record
CGGCCGGCUGCUCUCGCUCGGGCUCUGCAGCCGCUCCUUCUCCAGUGUUCCCAGGAAUCUUUCUGCGGAAUCCAGUUUCGAUUUCAGCUCUGCGACCUGCAGGCAGGAGUGGUUCACAGACAGCUGCAGACACCUGGUCCGAAGCCCACCAACCCCUGUAUUUUUUUCCCAACCUAACACCGCGGGACAGAACUGGCUGACUCCUGGGCGUCCCCUAGGGAGGGGCUGCUCUUCCCACCGCCCCAAACCAAGAUCAGGUCUUUUGCUUUUAAAAAAAUGCUUCCUCUACAAGAGAAAAAAGCAAACACCAAAACAGCUUGUAGACUCCUUUCUCCAGACUACGCCCCUUUGGAGGGAAUAAACCCUUAGACCUUACGGGAGCCAUCGAGGCUUGCCAUUCUCUUUUCAACUGGCAAGGUGUGCCUUGCGUGAUCUGAAGAAGGCAGUGAAGGGUGGAGAUCAGUGAACAUGCUUACAUUACAGAAAAACAGAUACGGCCUUUAACUCCUCAGUAACCUGCAGCGCUUGACCUGCUGUGCAGUGCGUGCCAAGUCUCUUGACCUGCUAUUAAAUUCCAAAUUAGGUGUCUGGGUUGCAGGGGUCCAGCGAGAGAAGCCUUAGGAACAAGCACUUCAUCAAAGAUGGAGAGUGUGACCAUUUUUAACCCUGGGUCUUCACGCAGCUGCAAGCCCUUUGGGAAGCUCGGGGUUUCCCGGGAUGUCUCAAGCUGGCGGGCUGUGACUAACACACAAGGCAGGUUGCCUAGCUAUGAUUGUAGGUGCUGCUAUGGGAAGAAGAAGACAGAGGAGAGAAUUCCUGCGUAGGACUGCACUGAAAAUAGAAACCGUCUGAGCAAACACCAAAGUGGCUGAGAUUUCCUGCAGUCAACUGGAUUAAAUUAUUCUCCAAAAAGUGGGAUGGGGGUCCCAGAUCGAAACAAAACAGUUUAAAAAAUAAAGA